GUGGGGAAUUUUGGACAAUGGGCGCAAGCCUGAUCCAGCAAUGCCGCGUGCAGGAAGAAGGCCUUCGGGUUGUAAACUGCUUUUGUACGGAACGAAACGGUCCGGGUUAAUACCCUGGGCUAAUGACGGUACCGUAAGAAUAAGCACCGGCUAACUACGUGCCAGCAGCCGCGGUAAUACGUAGGGUGCAAGCGUUAAUCGGAAUUACUGGGCGUAAAGCGUGCGCAGGCGGUUUUGUAAGACAGGCGUGAAAACCCCGGGCUCAACCUGGGAAUUGCGCUUGUGACUGCAAGGCUGGAGUGCGGCAGAGGGGGAUGGAAUUCCGCGUGUAGCAGUGAAAUGCGUAGAUAUGCGGAGGAACACCGAUGGCGAAGGCAAUCCCCUGGGCCUGCACUGACGCUCAUGCACGAAAGCGUGGGGAGCAAACAGGAUUAGAUACCCCAGUAGUCC
Molecule: ribosomal RNA, 450 nt
Filed under: uncultured bacterium
Lineage: Bacteria
Description: partial 16S ribosomal RNA
Rfam family: Bacterial small subunit ribosomal RNA
Source: RNAcentral